Molecule: ribosomal RNA, 253 nt
Filed under: uncultured bacterium
Lineage: Bacteria
Description: partial 16S ribosomal RNA
Rfam family: Bacterial small subunit ribosomal RNA
Source: RNAcentral
UACGGAGGGUGCAAGCGUUGUCCGGAUUUAUUGGGUUUAAAGGGUGCGUAGGCGGCUAAUUAAGUCAGUGGUGAAAGCCUGUAGCUCAACUAUAGAAUUGCCAUUGAUACUGGUUAGCUUGAGUUCGGUUGAGGUAAGCGGAAUGGAUAGUGUAGCGGUGAAAUGCAUAGAUAUUAUCCAGAACACCGAUAGCGAAGGCAGUUUACUGGACCGAUACUGACGCUGAGGCACGAAAGCAUGGGGAGCGAACAGG